Molecule: ribosomal RNA, 408 nt
Filed under: uncultured bacterium
Lineage: Bacteria
Description: partial 16S ribosomal RNA
Rfam family: Bacterial small subunit ribosomal RNA
Source: RNAcentral
GACGAACGCUGGCGGCGUGCUUAACACAUGCAAGUCGAACGAAGUGGCGAACGGGUGAGUAACGCGUAAUCAACCUGCCCUUCAGAGGGGGACAACAGUUGGAAACGACUGCUAAUAACGCAUACUGAAGGAGGGGCUUGCGUCUGAUUAGGUAGUUGGAGGGGUAACGGCCCACCAAGGCGAUGAUCAGUAGCCCGGCUGAGAGGAGUGACGGCCACAUUUGGACUGAGACACGGCCAGGAAGCCUACGGGAGGCAGCAGGGGGUAAUCUUCCGCAAUGGACGAAAGUCUGACGGAGCAACGCCGCGUGAGGGAUGACGGCCUUCGGGUUGGAAUGCUCUGUUAAUCGGGACGCGGUACCGGAAUAGAAAGCCACGGCUAACUACGUGCCAGCAGCCGCGGUAAUUC